UACAGAGGUCUCAAGCGUUGUUCGGAUUCAUUGGGCGUAAAGGGUGCGUAGGUGGCGCUGUAAGUCGGGUGUGAAAUUUCGGAGCUUAACUCCGAAACUGCAUUCGAUACUGCUGUGCUUGAGGACUGGAGAGGAGACUGGAAUUCAUGGUGUAGCAGUGAAAUGCGUAGAGAUCAUGAGGAAGACCAGUGGCGAAGGCGGGUCUCUGGACAGUUCCUGACACUGAGGCACGAAGGCCAGGGGAGCAAACGGG
Molecule: ribosomal RNA, 253 nt
Filed under: uncultured bacterium
Lineage: Bacteria
Description: partial 16S ribosomal RNA
Rfam family: Bacterial small subunit ribosomal RNA
Source: RNAcentral